GACGAACGCUGGCGGCGUGCUUAACACAUGCAAGUCGAACGGAAAGGCCCUGCUCUUGUGGGGUGCUCGAGUGGCGAACGGGUGAGUAACACGUGAGUAACCUGCCCUUGACUUUGGGAGAACUUCAGGAAACUGGGGCUAAUACCGGAUAGGAGCUCCUGCUGCGUGGGGGGGGUUGGAAAGAUUCGGCGGUGGGGGCUGGACUCGCGGCUUAUCAGCUUGUUGGUGGGGUAGUGGCUUCCCAAGGCUUUGAGGGGUAGCCCGCCUGAGAGCGUGACCGGCGACAUUGCUCCUACGGUACGGCCCAGACUCGUACGGGCGGCAGCAGGCGAGAGUCUUGCGCAAUGGGCGGACGCCUGAUGCAACAACGCCGCGUGCGGAAUGCCGGCUUUCGGGUUGUAAACCGCUUUCGACUGUAACGUGGCCUGCUUGACGGUAAUGGGUCAGGAAGCCCCGGCUAACUACGUG
Molecule: ribosomal RNA, 468 nt
Filed under: uncultured bacterium
Lineage: Bacteria
Description: partial 16S ribosomal RNA
Rfam family: Bacterial small subunit ribosomal RNA
Source: RNAcentral